Caenorhabditis elegans is the source of this 150-nucleotide non-coding RNA. Lineage: Eukaryota; Metazoa; Nematoda; Chromadorea; Rhabditida; Rhabditidae. The record is from Ensembl.
CGUCCUCCUAUCAUUGCCUUCUGAUUGCCGACGAAGUUUGAUGACGUGAGAAGACUUCCGAAAAUGAGCUCAGGAACGAAGACUUUCUCCACUUUGUGCUGGGUGACAGGAAUUCCUUUUCCGUUGUUGUAUACAGAGAUCUCGUUUUUC